Molecule: long non-coding RNA, 1494 nt
Organism: Marmota flaviventris (yellow-bellied marmot)
Lineage: Eukaryota; Metazoa; Chordata; Mammalia; Rodentia; Sciuridae
Source: RefSeq, a predicted model, not a curated record
AAGGGUAUCAGGGCAGAAACCACCAGACCAUAUGUCCUGUGUAAGAUGUAAGAUGUCACUAAGAAACCUGGUAACAACUGAUAGGGACCCAAAGGGCGAGCAGAAGCUCCCCAAAUUUAACAAAAAUAUUGGAGCAAAUGAACAGACAUUCACCAGCUGACACUGAUGCACACAAGCCUGAGAGCCUGAUGAGGACCUAGUCUGACAUCCCCACUCUUCUCAUCAUCUGCCUAAUCCUCUGCAUUGUCCUCAUCACUCUCAAACUAUACAGCAGCCUUUUGACCCUGGUAAGAAUGGCAAUGUCUCCUUACCAGCUGUCACCUCCACAGCAGAAGAAGCCUUCAUCAGUUCCUGACCGGAUUGCUGCAGUCUGACAUCCUGAAUCCAGAAAUGAAGACUUCCUAAACAACUCUCAGAAGGCAGUUCCUGGCAGCACUUAAUCCUGAGGAAGCAGAGAAGCCUGGAACAAACUCCAGAUGCCCUGCAGGGAACAGCGACUGGGGAAGCUGAAUCAGGAAGAUGGCAAGUUCAAGGCAAGCCUGGGGCAAUUUAGCCAUACCACAGCAUCUACAAACUGGACAGAAGUACAAAUUUGAAAAUCUGCAUAUUAACAAGCUCCCAGAAGAUGCUAAUGCCUCAUCGGACUGUGGACUCCAUGUUCUGCAGCAAGAAUCUAUCCUAGAGGCUCUCAGACCAUCAGAAUCAGCAUCACCUUAAGGGAACUUGAUAGAAAUGCAAAUUCUUGGUCUCACUCCAGACCUACUACAUUGGAAAUUCUGGGAGAAGCCCUGAAGUCUGAGCUUUAACAAGUCUUCCAGUGAAGACCUCGUUCCCUCACUAGCAGUUGAGUUCCGUGCAAAUUAUUCACCUCAACAAGAGAGGCAGACUGGAAAAGAACACCUGGCCUUUGUCUUUGGGGAUCAUUACCAGUGGAAACAGUCACCUGCAAGGAAACCUGUUAAGUGGGGGUCCCUUGGAUGCGAGGAGGUGUUGUACAAUAGCUCUGAGAACAUUUCCUGCAGAAGUGCAAAUGUCUUCUAUGUGAAAGAGGAGCAACCUGAUAUUCUGCUUCCAUCUGAUAAAAAAUGACCAUUACAAAUGAUUUCAAAUUUCAUGAAGAGGCUAAGAUCAGACAGGGACCCUGCAGGAAAGAUAGCCUUCCAGUUCUCCUGGACAGGGACUGUGCAGUCAGCUCUGUCGUCAUUCACCAGCUUCUGCACUUCACAGUUCAUCUGAGGAGACGGAGUUAGGGAGUUCUCCAUGGACCAGGAGUGCGGCUCUCUCUUUAUUUCACCCUAUGAACAUGGAUCCGCCUGAAGCUUGUGUGGGUCAAGAGUGAGUCUAGGACUUGCCUGAUUAUGGCCCUGUGUACCUGGAAGCAAUAGGUUGGUGUCACAAGUAGGCUUUUGGCUCCUGGCUGGAGGCCUUACAGGUUGGCCUUUGGCAGGCUGGGAUAUCCUGGGUAAAAAUAAAGCUGAUACUUGCUCUAUGUAA